GAGGACAAGUCUGGUGCCAGCAGCCGCGGUAAUACCAGCUCCAAUAGCGUAUAUUAAAGUUGUUGCAGUUAAAAAGCUCGUAGUUGGACUUGUGUGCAUGGGAACUCGCGGUCUUCGUCCAAAAGGGCGUUACGACAUGCGGUUCCUGUGCCGUAAAAUCUUCAACUGGAUCGCACCUGGUCUUGAUUGACUGGGAGCUGUCAUUCGGUUGAUCGUUUACUGUGAGAAAAUUAGAGUGUUCAAGGCAGGCAUAAUUGCAAUUGAAUAUGUUAGCAUGGAAUAAUAAGAUAAGGCUUCUGCAUUCUUUUGGUUUCUAGAGUGGAAGUAAGGAUUGAGAAGGACUAUCGGUG
This 350-nucleotide ribosomal RNA is filed under the name uncultured Plasmodiophoridae. Its description in RNAcentral is "partial small subunit ribosomal RNA". It matches the Rfam family "Eukaryotic small subunit ribosomal RNA", at positions 551 to 887 of the family's 1831-position model. The record is from RNAcentral. Lineage: Eukaryota; Endomyxa; Phytomyxea; Plasmodiophorida.